Molecule: long non-coding RNA, 728 nt
Organism: Carya illinoinensis
Lineage: Eukaryota; Viridiplantae; Streptophyta; Magnoliopsida; Fagales; Juglandaceae
Exons: 2
Source: RefSeq, a predicted model, not a curated record
GUGUUUACUGUCCGUGUAAAAAAUUUUAAAUUGUUUUUAUAAUAAAUUAUGUCAGUGAUUUAUUUUGUGUGAUUUGUGCAGGAUGCAAUGGUACUUGUGACUGCACUGUCAGUUGAUCAGAUCAGGCAUGCGUAUUGAAAUUGUUCGGAGUGCAUGCGCACACCAAUUUGUCAGACAUUGGUAAAAUUGAAAAAUCCUAUUUUGCCCUUAGUUGUAAUUCAAAAUUUCGAUGAGUGCAUGCGUAUUGAAAUGGUUCGGUCAGUGCAUGUGGGCACCAUUUGUCAGAUGUCAGUAAAAUAAUUAAAAAUUCUAUGUUGCCUUUAGUUGUAGUUCAAAAUUUAUUCAACGCCGACUCUCACACGGUCACACCCAUUUCUCACAAACCCUAUCUCUCUCUCUCCCCGCUUAUUCUUUUUCACUGCCGCACCCUCGCCUCUAGCAAAGUAAAACAGAGACACCAACGCCUCCAUCAGUGAAGAAGAUGGUGGGCUUGGUUUCCAGUCUUCCCUUUAAUUCUCAUAUGCUUUUUCAUUCGUUUCGUGCGAGGUUUUCUGCCAUUGUAGAAGCCUAAUGGUCCCAAGCCACGGCCGUUGAAAUCGUCUUCCAAGUCGUCCUCCUCAGCUCAGGAUGAGAUCGAGAUACGGCUGAGAGUCACCAAGAAGAAAAGUACCGGAUAGAUCUGAUGGCUCCUCUUCCUGCGUUAAGAUCAUCCCCAGAAAGAGAUCGAA